UGGACACUUAAUGAUGUUGAUGCUGCUGCUGAAAGCUUUGCGAUUGGAGCCAAACGAUGCUUAGUGACGAACUUGAUGAGAUUAUUCUCCUUGACAUCAGGCCAGUGUAUAUUGUGAACAUCUGAACUGGUUGAGACUUUCCGAUAACAUUCUGCGAUGCAUUCCAUUCAGGCAGAAUAAAGAAAGAGCUUGCUGCUGCUAUGAAAAAGAUCAAUGAUCAACGCGAUGAGGAGAGAAGACAAUACCGUAAGAUGUUCCAAUCAAACCCAACUGGUGCAGAUGAACAAUAAUGUUCGAGAGCUUCAAUAACCUUUUGCAGUUGCAUAUAAUCGGAUAGUGUCAUCUGGUUCAGACCUUCAUUAGGAUCUCUUACCUUCCAGACAAAAUACUACGGAUGGUUCGGGUAU
Molecule: long non-coding RNA, 407 nt
Organism: Hibiscus syriacus
Lineage: Eukaryota; Viridiplantae; Streptophyta; Magnoliopsida; Malvales; Malvaceae
Exons: 3
Source: RefSeq, a predicted model, not a curated record